GUGCUCGCUUCGGCAGCACAUAUACUAAAAACGGAACGCUAUGGAGAUUAACAUGGCCCUUGCCCAAGGAUGACACGCAAAUUUGUGAAGUGUUCCAUAUUGAA
Small nuclear RNA from Ochotona curzoniae (black-lipped pika), 104 nucleotides. The record is from RefSeq and is a predicted model, not a curated record. NCBI's taxonomy places the organism in Eukaryota, Metazoa, Chordata, Mammalia, Lagomorpha, Ochotonidae.